AGUGAACGCUGGCGGUAGGCCUAACACAUGCAAGUCGAACGGCAGCACAGUAAGAGCUUGCUCUUACGGGUGGCGAGUGGCGGACGGGUGAGGAAUACAUCGGAAUCUACUUUUUCGUGGGGGAUAACGUAGGGAAACUUACGCUAAUACCGCAUACGACCUACGGGUGAAAGCAGGGGAUCUUCGGACCUUGCGCGAUUGAAUGAGCCGAUGUCGGAUUAGCUAGUUCGCGGGGUAAAGGCCCACCAAGGCGACGAUCCGUAGCUGGUCUGAGAGGAUGAUCAGCCACACUGGAACUGAGACACGGUCCAGACUCCUACGGGAGGCAGCAGUGGGGAAUAUUGGACAAUGGGCGCAAGCCUGAUCCAGCCAUACCGCGUGGGUGAAGAAGGCCUUCGGGUUGUAAAGCCCUUUUGUUGGGAAAGAAAAGCAGCAGGUUAAUACCCCGCUGUUCUGACGGUACCCAAAGAAUAAGCACCGGCUAACUUCGUG
Molecule: ribosomal RNA, 492 nt
Filed under: uncultured bacterium
Lineage: Bacteria
Description: partial 16S ribosomal RNA
Rfam family: Bacterial small subunit ribosomal RNA
Source: RNAcentral